RNAcentral lists this ribosomal RNA (528 nucleotides) under uncultured bacterium. RNAcentral's name for it is "bacterial SSU rRNA". It matches the Rfam family "Bacterial small subunit ribosomal RNA", at positions 777 to 1311 of the family's 1533-position model. The record is from RNAcentral.
AAUAGAUACCCGGGUAGUCCACGCCGUAAACGAUGGAUACUAGCUGUUUGAGCGCAAAUUUGAGUGGCUAAGCGAAAGUGAUAAGUAUCCCACCUGGGGAGUACGGGCGCAAGCCUGAAACUCAAAGGAAUUGACGGGGGCCCGCACAAGCGGUGGAGCAUGUGGUUUAAUUCGAUGAUACGCGAGGAACCUUACCAGGGCUUAAAUGUAGAUUGACGUAUUUGGAAACAGAUAUUUCUUCGGACAAUUUACAAGGUGCUGCAUGGUUGUCGUCAGCUCGUGCCGUGAGGUGUCAGGUUAAGUCCUAUAACGAGCGCAACCCCUGUUGUUAGUUGCCAGCGAGUAAUGUCGGGAACUCUAGCAAGACUGCCAGUGUAAACUGUGAGGAAGGUGGGGAUGACGUCAAAUCAUCACGGCCCUUACGUCCUGGGCCACACACGUGCUACAAUGGCCGGUACAGAGAGCAGCCACUUAGCGAUAAGGAGCGAAUCUAUAAAGCCGGUCACAGUUCGGAUCGGAGUCUGCAAC